RNAcentral lists this ribosomal RNA (81 nucleotides) under Streptococcus pneumoniae. Lineage: Bacteria; Bacillati; Bacillota; Bacilli; Lactobacillales; Streptococcaceae. The record is from RNAcentral.
UUAAGUGACGAUAGCCUAGGAGAUACACCUGUACCCAUGCCGAACACAGAAGUUAAGCCAUAGAACGCCGGAAGUAGUUGG